Molecule: ribosomal RNA, 852 nt
Filed under: Zetaproteobacteria bacterium
Lineage: Bacteria; Pseudomonadati; Pseudomonadota; Candidatius Mariprofundia
Description: bacterial SSU rRNA
Rfam family: Bacterial small subunit ribosomal RNA
Source: RNAcentral
CGGAGAGUUUGAUCCUGGCUCAGAACGAACGCUGGCGGCGUGCCUAACACAUGCAAGUCGAGCGAGAAAGUCCCCGCAAGGGGAUGAGUAAAGCGGCGAACGGGUGAGUAACACGUGGGCAACCUGCCCUUCAGUCAGGAAUAACCCCGCGAAAGCGGGGCUAAUACCGGAUGACGUCCUUUGGGGGCAUCUUCGGGGGACCAAAGGGGGCGAGCGAAAGCGGCUCCCGCUGAAGGAUGGGCCUGCGGCUGAUUAGCUAGUUGGUGGGGUAGCGGCCUACCAAGGCGACGAUCAGUAGCCGACCUGAGAGGGUGACCGGCCACACUGGGACUGAGACACGGCCCAGACUCCUACGGGAGGCAGCAGUGGGGAAUAUUGCGCAAUGGGCGAAAGCCUGACGCAGCGACGCCGCGUGGGUGAUGAAGGCCUUCGGGUCGUAAAACCCUGUCGGGUGGAACGAAUCUCCUUUUCUCUAAUACAGGAGAGGAUUGACGGUACCACCGAAGGAAGCCCCGGCUAACUACGUGCCAGCAGCCGCGGUAAUACGUAGGGGGCGAGCGUUGUUCGGAUUUACUGGGCGUAAAGAGCGCGUAGGUGGUUCGAUGAGUCGGAUGUGAAAUCCCUCGGCUCAACCGAGGACCCGCGUCCGAUACUGUCGAACUUGAGUGCAGGAGAGGAGAGCGGAAUUCCCAGUGUAGCGGUGAAAUGCGUAGAUACUGGGAGGAACACCGGUGGCGAAGGCGGCUCUCUGGACUGUCACUGACGCUGAGGUGCGAAAGCUAGGGGAGCAAACGGGAUUAGAUACCCCGGUAGUCCUAGCCGUAAACGAUGGGCACUAGGUGUGGGAGGUAU